GGUCAAGUGAAGAAGCGCAUACGGUGGAUGCCUUGGCAGUCAGAGGCGAUGAAAGACGUGGUAGCCUGCGAUAAGCUUCGGGGAGUCGGCAAACAGACUUUGAUCCGGAGAUCUCUGAAUGGGGGAACCCACUCAGCAUAAGCUGAGUAUCUUGUACUGAAUACAUAGGUGCAAGAGGCGAACCAGGGGAACUGAAACAUCUAAGUACCCUGAGGAAAAGAAAUCAACCGAGAUUCCCUUAGUAGUGGCGAGCGAACGGGGACUAGCCCUUAAGUGGCUUUGAGAUUAGCGGAACGCUCUGGAAAGUGCGGCCAUAGUGGGUGAUAGCCCUGUACGCGAAAAUCUCUUAGUCAUGAAAUCGAGUAGGACGGAGCACGAGAAACUUUGUCUGAAUAUGGGGGGACCAUCCUCCAAGGCUAAAUACUACUGACUGACCGAUAGUGAACCAGUACCGUGAGGGAAAGGCGAAAAGAACCCCGGAGAGGGGAGUGAAAUAGAACCUGAAACCGUAUGCGUACAAGCAGUGGGAGCCUACUUUGUUAGGUGACUGCGUACCUUUUGUAUAAUGGGUCAGCGACUUAUAUUCAGUGGCGAGCUUAACCGAAUAGGGGAGGCGUAGCGAAAGCGAGUCUUAAUAGGGCGUUUAGUCGCUGGGUAUAGACCCGAAACCGGGCGAUCUAUCCAUGGGCAGGUUGAAGGUUAGGUAACACUGACUGGAGGACCGAACCGACUACCGUUGAAAAGUUAGCGGAUGACCUGUGGAUCGGAGUGAAAGGCUAAUCAAGCUCGGAGAUAGCUGGUUCUCCUCGAAAGCUAUUUAGGUAGCGCCUCAUGUAUCACUGUAGGGGGUAGAGCACUGUUUCGGCUAGGGGGUCAUCCCGACUUACCAAACCGAUGCAAACUCCGAAUACCUACAAGUGCCGAGCAUGGGAGACACACGGCGGGUGCUAACGUCCGUCGUGAAAAGGGAAACAACCCAGACCGUCAGCUAAGGUCCCAAAGUUAUGGUUAAGUGGGAAACGAUGUGGGAAGGCUUAGACAGCUAGGAGGUUGGCUUAGAAGCAGCCACCCUUUAAAGAAAGCGUAAUAGCUCACUAGUCGAGUCGGCCUGCGCGGAAGAUGUAACGGGGCUCAAACCAUACACCGAAGCUACGGGUAUCACUUAGGUGAUGCGGUAGAGGAGCGUUCUGUAAGCCUGUGAAGGUGAGUUGAGAAGCUUGCUGGAGGUAUCAGAAGUGCGAAUGCUGACAUGAGUAACGACAAUGGGAGUGAAAAACUCCCACGCCGAAAGACCAAGGUUUCCUGCGCAACGUUAAUCGACGCAGGGUUAGUCGGUCCCUAAGGCGAGGCUGAAAAGCGUAGUCGAUGGAAAACAGGUUAAUAUUCCUGUACUUCUAGUUAUUGCGAUGGAGGGACGGAGAAGGCUAGGCCAGCUUGGCGUUGGUUGUCCAAGUUUAAGGUGGUAGGCUGAGAUCUUAGGUAAAUCCGGGAUCUUAAGGCCGAGAGCUGAUGACGAGUUGCCUUUAGGCGACGAAGUGGUUGAUGCCAUGCUUCCAAGAAAAGCUUCUAAGCUUCAGAUAACUAGGAACCGUACCCCAAACCGACACAGGUGGUUGGGUAGAGAAUACCAAGGCGCUUGAGAGAACUCGGGUGAAGGAACUAGGCAAAAUGGCACCGUAACUUCGGGAGAAGGUGCGCCGGUGAGGGUGAAGGACUUGCUCCGUAAGCCCAUGCCGGUCGAAGAUACCAGGCCGCUGCGACUGUUUAUUAAAAACACAGCACUCUGCAAACACGAAAGUGGACGUAUAGGGUGUGACGCCUGCCCGGUGCCGGAAGGUUAAUUGAUGGGGUUAGCUAACGCGAAGCUCUUGAUCGAAGCCCCGGUAAACGGCGGCCGUAACUAUAACGGUCCUAAGGUAGCGAAAUUCCUUGUCGGGUAAGUUCCGACCUGCACGAAUGGCGUAACGAUGGCGGCGCUGUCUCCACCCGAGACUCAGUGAAAUUGAAAUCGCUGUGAAGAUGCAGUGUAUCCGCGGCUAGACGGAAAGACCCCGUGAACCUUUACUAUAGCUUUGCACUGGACUUUGAAUUUGCUUGUGUAGGAUAGGUGGGAGGCUUUGAAGCGUGGACGCCAGUUCGCGUGGAGCCAUCCUUGAAAUACCACCCUGGCAACUUUGAGGUUCUAACUCAGGUCCGUUAUCCGGAUCGAGGACAGUGUAUGGUGGGUAGUUUGACUGGGGCGGUCUCCUCCUAAAGAGUAACGGAGGAGUACGAAGGUGCGCUCAGACCGGUCGGAAAUCGGUCGUAGAGUAUAAAGGCAAAAGCGCGCUUGACUGCGAGACAGACACGUCGAGCAGGUACGAAAGUAGGUCUUAGUGAUCCGGUGGUUCUGUAUGGAAGGGCCAUCGCUCAACGGAUAAAAGGUACUCCGGGGAUAACAGGCUGAUACCGCCCAAGAGUUCAUAUCGACGGCGGUGUUUGGCACCUCGAUGUCGGCUCAUCACAUCCUGGGGCUGAAGCCGGUCCCAAGGGUAUGGCUGUUCGCCAUUUAAAGUGGUACGCGAGCUGGGUUUAGAACGUCGUGAGACAGUUCGGUCCCUAUCUGCCGUGGACGUUUGAGAUUUGAGAGGGGCUGCUCCUAGUACGAGAGGACCGGAGUGGACGAACCUCUGGUGUUCCGGUUGUCACGCCAGUGGCAUUGCCGGGUAGCUAUGUUCGGAAGAGAUAACCGCUGAAAGCAUCUAAGCGGGAAACUUGCCUCAAGAUGAGAUCUCACUGGAGCCUUGAGCUCCCUGAAGGGCCGUCGAAGACUACGACGUUGAUAGGUUGGGUGUGUAAGCGCUGUGAGGCGUUGAGCUAACCAAUACUAAUUGCCCGUGAGGCUUGACCAU
Molecule: ribosomal RNA, 2891 nt
Filed under: Pseudomonas vranovensis
Lineage: Bacteria; Pseudomonadati; Pseudomonadota; Gammaproteobacteria; Pseudomonadales; Pseudomonadaceae
Also listed under: 1 other name
Description: 23S ribosomal RNA
Rfam family: Bacterial large subunit ribosomal RNA
Source: RNAcentral